CCUACGGGAGGCAGCAGUGGGGGAUAUUGCACAAUGGGCGGAACCCUGAUGCAGCGACGCCGCGUGGGUGAAGGAGCGUUUCGGCGCGUAAAGCCCUAUCGGCAGGGAAGAAGAUGACGGUACCUGUCCAAGUAGCCCCGGCUAACUACGUGCCAGCAGCCGCGGUAAUACGUAGGGGGCAAGCGUUAUCCGGAUGUAUUGGGUGUAAGGGGGGCGCAGGCGGCAAGGCAAGGCAGGAGUGAAAGCCCGGGGCCCAACCUCGGGACUGCUCUUGGAACUGCAUGGCUGGAGUACAGGAGGGGGAGGAGGAAUUCCAGGUGUAGCGGUGAAAUGCGUAGAGAUUAGGAGGAACACCGGUGGCGAAGGCGGCCUGCUGGGCUGUGACUGACGUUGAGGCACGAAGGCGUGGGGAGCAAACAGGAUUAGAUACCCGAGUAGUC
RNAcentral lists this ribosomal RNA (440 nucleotides) under uncultured bacterium. RNAcentral describes it as "partial 16S ribosomal RNA". It matches the Rfam family "Bacterial small subunit ribosomal RNA", at positions 338 to 795 of the family's 1533-position model. The record is from RNAcentral.